RNAcentral lists this ribosomal RNA (467 nucleotides) under uncultured bacterium. RNAcentral's name for it is "partial 16S ribosomal RNA". It matches the Rfam family "Bacterial small subunit ribosomal RNA", at positions 28 to 506 of the family's 1533-position model. The record is from RNAcentral.
GACGAACGCUGGCGGCGUGCUUAACACAUGCAAGUCGAACGGAAAGGCCCUGCUUUUGUGGGGUGCUCGAGUGGCGAACGGGUGAGUAACACGUGAGUAACCUGCCCUUGACUUUGGGAUAACUUCAGGAAACUGGGGCUAAUACCGGAUAGGAGCUCCUGCUGCAUGGUGGGGGUUGGAAAGUUUCGGCGGUUGGGGAUGGACUCGCGGCUUAUCAGCUUGUUGGUGGGGUAGUGGCUUACCAAGGCUUUGACGGGUAGCCGGCCUGAGAGGGUGACCGGCCACAUGGGGACUGGGAUACGGCCCAGACUCCUCCGGGGGGCAGCGGUGGGGAUUAUUGCACAAUGGGCGGAGGCCUGAUGCAGCAACCCCGCGUGCGGGAUGACGGCCUUCGGGUGGUAAACCGCUUUCGCCUGUGACGAAGCGUGAGUGACGGUAAUGGGUAAGGAAGCACCGGCUACCUACUU